RNAcentral lists this transfer-messenger RNA (398 nucleotides) under Flavobacteriaceae. RNAcentral describes it as "Flavobacterium sp019345525 Standard tmRNA". It matches the Rfam family "transfer-messenger RNA". Rfam says of the family: Bacterial tmRNA, also known as 10Sa RNA or SsrA, is named for its dual tRNA and mRNA-like properties. Its role is to liberate the mRNA from a stalled ribosome. To accomplish this part of the tmRNA is used as a reading frame that ends in a translation stop signal. The record is from RNAcentral. RNAcentral also lists the same sequence under 1 other name. Lineage: Bacteria; Pseudomonadati; Bacteroidota; Flavobacteriia; Flavobacteriales.
GGGGUCGAUUGGCUUUGACAGCAAGUGGAAUUAGAUUGUAAGCAUGUCGAGCGCUGAAAAACAGCUCGUAAAUAUCAUUUUUCAAACUUUUCAAACGGCGAAAAUAAUUACGCUUUAGCUGCUUAAUCUGAAUUAUAGUAAGAUUUGCCUAGUUCUCACCAGGUGAGAAAGCUAGAUUCUCCAAAAAAGCCUUGGUUUGUGGCGUUUUAAUUAGGAGAACCGUAAAAAUAAACCUAGGGAACCUUUAGUCUCGACGGGUUUCUGACAACUAAGAGAAUAAGCGACAGGUGGCCGUUCCUAGCCAAGCUUGUUGACGAAAAACUAAGAAGGAACUAAACAUGUAGAAAGCUUUUUGAUUGCUUGUUUGGACCCGAGUUCGAUUCUCGGCGACUCCACAA